CAAAGCAUGCUGUGCUUAGAUCGGGUUCUUUGACAUUUGUUUGUUUUUUUCCGUAAUUUUUUUCCAUGCGAUGCAAACCGCCGGUAUCCGGGAUUGCCAGGCUUAGUCAAACGAGGUAAAGUAACGUUUAUUCAUUUGUUUUCCGGAGGAAAGUGAUUGUAGUGCUUCGAAUGGAAUCAUUUGAAGGAUGCUUACCACGGAAGCCGCUAUUAUGCCGUAGCAUUUGCACCGGAGACAUCGUUACUAGUACGGAUCCUGUCCCAGGGAAAAACAGAAUGAAAUGAAUCUUAGUUAGUACCUGAGGAAGCGGACGAUGAGCGAUCACUGUUAUAGGAGAAAAGUUCUUCAAAUGUGAAUUUCGUGGAAAAAAAUUGGCGAAAAUCCAAAAACUCAUUCUACACGUGCGGACUCACACAGGUGAACGCCCUUUAUGCUUGUCCCCACUGUCCGAAAAUAUUCACUCAAUCGGUAACGCUUAAGAUUCACACCAGGGUGCAUACCCGGGAAACUCCAUAAUUGUGCGAAUACUGCGACCGAGGGUUCACUCAAUCCUACAAUUUGACGGUGCACCUACGAAUCCAACACAAACAUAUAACGGUAUACCGAGGACGUGCCGGCGUGCUGCCCGCGUACAAUUGUCGGCGAAAAGUUUCCGGCUGCCACCGGGAAACUUCAAUUGUCGCAAUCGUGGUAAAAAGUAUACCUUUGUGCACAAAUGCAAGGCUUCUAAGGCCGAAGUGAAGGAAAAGAUGUACUCGUGUAAAAUCUGCAGCCAAACCUUCAAGCAUCAGCAGAACGUCGGGUACCACUUGAGCAACAAACACAAACGGUUCGACAAAAAUUUGAGAGAUCUGGAGACGGACGAAGAAGAGACAAAAAUUUGAGAGAUCCCAAUGUAUAAGUUUCGACUGCAGUUGUUCGGAGUUCGGAAUGCGCUCCAGAACUUAACUGGAGCCGACAUAUAGGGAGAUGGCUGAUUAUCCGGCAAAAUCUACUGCAACUGCUUCUGUAGCUUUGCAUUGCAUUUAAAGGCUUAUUCUCCUAUGUUUAAUUUCCCGAUUAAAAAAACAAAAAUUAGCCACUACCAAUCCGUAUAAAUGUGUACCGUAUGCCAACCAUAUUAUCAAGCUAAUUCAGGUUUAAAGCUAUUUUUAAUAUGGUGCAAUCAACAAUAGAAUAACAAUUGCCUGGUAUGAUAUCGAGCAAAACCAUCAUCGUUUUUCAUACGCGACCAUACAAUCAGGCCCCUGCUAGGCAGUCAUUUUGUUAAAAUCAGAAUAACCCAAUGCUAUUGCACAUGGGCCUAGAAGGGGCUAGGCCCAUCAUAUGUUGGCUACUGUCAAAGUCUAUAUAUCUCCAUAGCGGAUGACAGGAGCGACACACUCUGAUUGUAAUCAAUCUACUAACUAAUUUACCACCAAUGGCCAGUAAAUCCUUAAGAGCCGUGGCAGUUUUCCUCGUAAUCUAUGGUCCAAUAGAAAAAUUUUGCUUAUUGCAUUACAGGAGACUUUGAUUGCAGACAUACCUCGGGUGAACUGCACCCAGUAGAGUAGAUAAAUUUGGGCAUCGAACAUCCACCAUUCAGAAAGUGGACCAAAACUAACGGAACUUGCGACAUGUCGAGGUAUUGGAGAGCCCAAAAGUAGGGGAAAUGGUUGCAUCUUCCGCUUUCAAACGCAACAGUGCAAAUCGCUGAGUAAACAUUUAGUGCAGCAUCGCUUACAAUGUGAACGUAGUUUUUAUGAGUUGUGAAAAUAUUAUGCUCGAUCAAGCAGCGCAAGUUUUGUGGGAAUCUGAAACAGACUUUUACCGAAACUCAGAACCUUCAUAGGGAAGUUUGCGGAGCACUGCCCACUCGAAAUUUUGGAAUUAAGCUCAAAUCUUUCAAAUCUGCCGCGUAUUUGUCUAGCGCAUGCAAUGUGCGCCAUGUGCAAUGAUUUUAUUUGAAUAAACUAAUCGCUAUCAAUCUUCUGUGAUUGUAAUAUUUACAAUCGUGUGUAUUGCGAAAAUGUGGGAAAUCAUUAGUAUUAGAUCCCUGCCAAAAUAGUAUGUUUAUUUUAGGGGUGGGCGUAGCGUAUUGGUAAAUCGAUUGCCUUGUACGCAGCGCACCUGGGUUCGAGUCCCGACCCCGCACAUAGGGUUAGAAAUUUUUCAUAAGAGAUUUUUCUAACCCGAAGAGGCGAAUGACCUUAAGGUUAAAACCUCUAUAAUCGAAAUAAAAAUUAAAGGGUUGUGUACAGGACACGACCACGGUGACAUUAAAAAUGUAGCUUUUUUUUCAAGAGCGUGCAAAUGAAUUUUAUCUAUCACACAUAUCGACUCACGUUCUUGCUCACUCGCCUGUUUUCAUAUGUUUCAAUUUGCUAUAUACCCUCCCCAUUAAAACAUAAUUUAUUGAAGGUUUUAACGGUAAUCUAUUAAUCAAUCAACUAUCUCACUAGGUGAUUGGCAUUAUUUGGCUGAUCCAUCUAGAAAAAAUAGGCUGGUCUGUCCAGAAAAUAUAUUCAAAAGAAAAGUUCCAUAUUGAGAACACGUCGCUGUUGUACUAUCUUAUGACAAACGCCAUUUUGGGGUAAACUGAGUUAGAUAUGCCACAUCACUUGGCUAAAAAAUCUCUACAAAGUGGCGUUUUCAGAAUUUUGACAUUCUGCUUGCUUACUGAGAUAUAGCGAGAAACGUGCUGAGAAAUUUUUAAUUUUUUACUUCAAUUAACUGUGUAUGGGGAUUGGCUCAAGAUAUCUUGAUGUAUAAGAUGUUUUUAUGUUUAAAACUAUCCGAGAUACAGAAUGGUAUAAUAAUUUUCAAAAUAAAAAUACACGCAUUGUGUGAAAAAAGCAGUUUAAGUUUUAAAUUGGAAAUAUAGCAUGUUUGGCAACACUGUAACCAAAAAUAACUAUUUUUUCUAGAUUCCCUGACUCAUUUCCUUCAAGAUGCAUCUAACAGAUUGUUUAUAGACCAAAUGAAGCCAAAGAUAUGAAUAAAAGUUCAUAAUUGGUGAUUUUUUUCCAUGAAAAAUUUUCCAUGCGCGAUUAUGACACGUCAUACAAAUUUUGCCAUCAAUGCACACCUAUGACACGUGUGAGUGCGACUUUUGUUUACAUUUAUAGUAAAAACUCACAACAUAGUCAACCGAUCUUCGUAAUAUUUGAGAGAUUAAUACAGAAUAGAAAGAAGCUUCAAUUGUAUUCUUUGAAUUGUUUAUACCAUUUAUAAGUUUCAAGCUAUUCAAUCUCAAACUUUAAAAAUCGUUUUUCUCGGAAUAUGCUAAAUGGCGCUUGUCAUAAGAUAGCACAACAGCGACGAACUGUGAUGAGGAAGCCCACGCUCGCCAACGGAAAUACACAGAUUCUCCAUGAAAUAUGAAAUUUCAUUUUCCAUUUAAAUUUUCAAUAAUGUACUAAUGGACUUAAGUAAACAAUCUUAAGUGUAAGUAUUUCUUGAUCGAUCAGUGGUGGAAAAAUUGAAAUUAUUUGAUAAAUUGCAUUGUUAUGCAACGUUCGCACUACCAGUUAAAACGGGUUUUUAUGCUAUCUUGGUGACAUUUUUCUUGUUGCUAAUUAUUAAAACGUGUUAUAACUCUGUAGUGUAAACAUUGUAUUAUUAAACCAAUUCUGCCUUUUUUCUA
Molecule: long non-coding RNA, 3625 nt
Organism: Topomyia yanbarensis
Lineage: Eukaryota; Metazoa; Arthropoda; Insecta; Diptera; Culicidae
Exons: 3
Source: RefSeq, a predicted model, not a curated record